RNAcentral lists this ribosomal RNA (1312 nucleotides) under Bacillus sp. (in: firmicutes). Its description in RNAcentral is "bacterial SSU rRNA". It matches the Rfam family "Bacterial small subunit ribosomal RNA", at positions 111 to 1405 of the family's 1533-position model. Lineage: Bacteria; Bacillati; Bacillota; Bacilli; Caryophanales; Bacillaceae. The record is from RNAcentral.
UAACACGUGGGCAACCUGCCUGUAAGAUCGGGAUAACGCCGGGAAACCGGGGCUAAUACCGGAUAGUUUUUUCCUCCGCAUGGAGGAAAAAGGAAAGACGGCUUCGGCUGUCACUUACAGAUGGGCCCGCGGCGCAUUAGCUUGUUGGUGGGGUAACGGCUCACCAAGGCAACGAUGCGUAGCCGACCUGAGAGGGUGAUCGGCCACAUUGGGACUGAGACACGGCCCAAACUCCUACGGGAGGCAGCAGUAGGGAAUCUUCCGCAAUGGACGAAAGUCUGACGGAGCAACGCCGCGUGAGUGAAGAAGGCCUUCGGGUCGUAAAACUCUGUUGCCGGGGAAGAACAAGUGCCGUUCGAACAGGGCGGCGCCUUGACGGUACCCGGCCAGAAAGCCACGGCUAACUACGUGCCAGCAGCCGCGGUAAUACGUAGGUGGCAAGCGUUGUCCGGAAUUAUUGGGCGUAAAGCGCGCGCAGGCGGCUUCUUAAGUCUGAUGUGAAAUCUUGCGGCUCAACCGCAAGCGGUCAUUGGAAACUGGGAGGCUUGAGUGCAGAAGAGGAGAGUGGAAUUCCACGUGUAGCGGUGAAAUGCGUAGAGAUGUGGAGGAACACCAGUGGCGAAGGCGGCUCUCUGGUCUGUAACUGACGCUGAGGCGCGAAAGCGUGGGGAGCAAACAGGAUUAGAUACCCUGGUAGUCCACGCCGUAAACGAUGAGUGCUAAGUGUUAGAGGGUUUCCGCCCUUUAGUGCUGCAGCUAACGCAUUAAGCACUCCGCCUGGGGGAGUACGGCCGCAAGGCUGAAACUCAAAGGAAUUGACGGGGGCCCGCACAAGCGGUGGAGCCAGGUGGUUUAAUUCGAAGCAACGCGAAGAACCUUACCAGGUCUUGACAUCCUCUGACCUCCCUGGAGACAGGGCCUUCCCCUUCGGGGGACAGAGUGACAGGUGGUGCAUGGUUGUCGUCAGCUCGUGUCGUGAGAUGUUGGGUUAAGUCCCGCAACGAGCGCAACCCUUGACCUUAGUUGCCAGCAUUCAGUUGGGCACUCUAAGGUGACUGCCGGUGACAAACCGGAGGAAGGUGGGGAUGACGUCAAAUCAUCAUGCCCCUUAUGACCUGGGCUACACACGUGCUACAAUGGAUGGUACAAAGGGCUGCGAGACCGCGAGGUUAAGCCAAUCCCAGAAAACCAUUCCCAGUUCGGAUUGCAGGCUGCAACCCGCCUGCAUGAAGCCGGAAUCGCUAGUAAUCGCGGAUCAGCAUGCCGCGGUGAAUACGUUCCCGGGCCUUGUACACACCGCCCGUCACACCAC